GUGCUUCUAUCAGCAGCACAUAUACUAAACUUGGAAUGAUAUAGCAAAUAGCAUGGUACCUGGGCAAGAAUGACACACAAAUUCUUGAAGCGUUCCAUAUUUUU
Pteronotus mesoamericanus is the source of this 104-nucleotide small nuclear RNA. The record is from RefSeq and is a predicted model, not a curated record. NCBI's taxonomy places the organism in Eukaryota, Metazoa, Chordata, Mammalia, Chiroptera, Mormoopidae.